RNAcentral lists this ribosomal RNA (759 nucleotides) under uncultured bacterium. RNAcentral's name for it is "bacterial SSU rRNA". It matches the Rfam family "Bacterial small subunit ribosomal RNA", at positions 62 to 807 of the family's 1533-position model. The record is from RNAcentral.
UCGAGGGGCAGCGGUGGUGAAGGCUUGCCUUUACCAGCCGGCGACCUGCGCACGGGUGAGUAACACGUAUGCAACCUGCCUGCCACAGCCGGAUAAUCGGGAGAAAUUCCGUCUAAUACGGCAUAAUGCAUCGACGGGACAUCCUGUUGGUGCCAAAGGUUAAUUCCGGUGGCGGAUGGGCAUGCGUCGCAUUAGUUAGUUGGCGGUGUAACGGACCACCAAGACGACGAUGCGUAGGGGUUCUGAGAGGAAGGUCCCCCACACUGGUACUGAGACACGGACCAGACUCCUACGGGAGGCAGCAGUGAGGAAUAUUGGUCAAUGGGCGGGAGCCUGAACCAGCCAAGUCGCGUGAGGGAUGACGGCCCUAUGGGUUGUAAACCUCUUUUGCCGGGGAGCAAAGUGCCGCACGUGUGCGGUUUGGAGAGUACCCGGAGAAAAAGCAUCGGCUAACUCCGUGCCAGCAGCCGCGGUAAUACGGAGGAUGCGAGCGUUAUCCGGAUUUAUUGGGUUUAAAGGGUGCGUAGGCGGACGCUUAAGUCAGCGGUAAAAUUGCGGGGCUCAACCUCGUCGAGCCGUUGAAACUGGAGACCUUGAGUGCGCGGAAGGCAGGCGGAAUUCGUGGUGUAGCGGUGAAAUGCUUAGAUAUCACGAAGAACCCCGAUUGCGAAGGCAGCCUGCCGCAGCGUUACUGACGCUGAAGCUCGAAAGCGCGGGUAUCGAACAGGAUUAGAUACCCUGGUAGUCCGCGCGGUAAAC